UGAAAACGUCAAAAGAUCGAUAAAUUCUCCAUUUGUUUGUCGCUUAACAACAUAAGUUAUGGAUGACUAUAUUAGAUGUAUCCUGUUGGAUAAUCACAUGGUCUGUCGUUCCAGUAAUGUUCGUUCCAUGAACAUGUGUUUGUACAGAAACAUGCACAAUAGCCAUCGCCAUUUGGUUGUAGUGGACCCCAGUUCUCAAACGUUAUUUUAGAAUUGUCAUAACUCCAAACCCACGAUCCAAUCAUGGAGGGAUCUUUUAAACCAAUCCAUGCAUCAUCUGAAAUACAAUGUUCUUUAAAACUAUUUGAUGAAAACUUCCUAUACAAAUGUUGUUUUGUUUUCUUUCAAAACACGAUAUUUUCACAUAAAUUGUAAUUUUCAAUGACAAUUUUUGGAAACAAAUAUAUUGUUCAUAGUAACAAUUAUUAAUUUAUUUGAUAUAGAGGAAUCAAGAUUUAAUGGCUUCAAUUAGUUAUAUCAUUAUACCUCUCUCUUUAAUACAUACUUUACGUUUCACUAACAAAAUUAUAUUUUUCUUUUCGUACGGCUGCUGGCAUGUCGAUAGAUAGUUUUUUAAAUAAGUUGUUCCCUCGAUUUUCUGUUUGAUAUUUAUAAAAAAAUGAAUAUGCUCGAUUAGUGUCAGUAAAACUUCAUAAUAGUACAUAUGGAACAAUUUAAAAGAUGUUGUUGGUUCUUUUACAGUUUUUAAUGUUUUAAAUUGGGAUAAUUAAAGGGGCACUAGCUGAUAGUUGUUGUCCAUUCGUU
Mytilus trossulus (common blue mussel) is the source of this 765-nucleotide long non-coding RNA. RefSeq lists it as uncharacterized. NCBI's taxonomy places the organism in Eukaryota, Metazoa, Mollusca, Bivalvia, Mytilida, Mytilidae. The transcript is spliced from 2 exons. The record is from RefSeq and is a predicted model, not a curated record.